Molecule: ribosomal RNA, 647 nt
Filed under: uncultured bacterium
Lineage: Bacteria
Description: bacterial SSU rRNA
Rfam family: Bacterial small subunit ribosomal RNA
Source: RNAcentral
AUAACAGUUGGAAACGACUGCUAAUACCGCAUAAGCGCACAAUACCGCAUGGUACCGUGUGAAAAACUCCGGUGGUAUGAGAUGGACCCGCGUCUGAUUAGCUAGUUGGUGGGGUAACAGCCUACCAAGGCGACGAUCAGUAGCCGACCUGAGAGGGUGACCGGCCACAUUGGGACUGAGACACGGCCCAAACUCCUACGGGAGGCAGCAGUGGGGAAUAUUGCACAAUGGGGGAAACCCUGAUGCAGCGACGCCGCGUGAGCGAAGAAGUAUUUCGGUAUGUAAAGCUCUAUCAGCAGGGAAGAAAAAAUGACGGUACCUGACUAAGAAGCACCGGCUAAAUACGUGCCAGCAGCCGCGGUAAUACGUAUGGUGCAAGCGUUAUCCGGAUUUACUGGGUGUAAAGGGAGCGCAGGCGGUGCGGCAAGUCUGAUGUGAAAGCCCGGGGCUCAACCCCGGUACUGCAUUGGAAACUGUCGUACUAGAGUGUCGGAGGGGUAAGUGGAAUUCCUAGUGUAGCGGUGAAAUGCGUAGAUAUUAGGAGGAACACCAGUGGCGAAGGCGGCUUACUGGACGAUAACUGACGCUGAGGCUCGAAAGCGUGGGGAGCAAACAGGAUUAGAUACCCUGGUAGUCCACGCCGUAAA